AUGAAAGAAUACUUUGAUGCUCACAACACAAGUGGAAUUGACCGCUCGGAGAGAUCACUUCGGUCCCGAUGGUCCACAAUCAACUCGGAUUGUCAAAAGUGGGCGGCCGCACAAAAGUCAGUUGACAAGAUUAACCCAAGUGGCACAAAUGAGGAUGAUAGAGUAAGUGGCAUCUCAUAUAUGUUCAUCUCAUACUUGUUUUUGGUGUCCGAAGUGCUAACUUGUUUUGUUUUUCUUGUAGUUCAACAUUGCACAAAACUUGUUCAAAGAAGAGACGAGGAAAACCAAGAAGGGAAAGAUCAAGAAAGGAAGGUUAUUUACCUUGUCUCAUUGCUAUGA
Molecule: ribosomal RNA, 339 nt
Filed under: Triticum aestivum (bread wheat)
Lineage: Eukaryota; Viridiplantae; Streptophyta; Magnoliopsida; Poales; Poaceae
Description: partial small subunit ribosomal RNA
Source: RNAcentral